This is a non-coding RNA of Oryctolagus cuniculus (rabbit), 782 nucleotides long. Lineage: Eukaryota; Metazoa; Chordata; Mammalia; Lagomorpha; Leporidae. The record is from RefSeq and is a predicted model, not a curated record.
CCUGCCCGAAACCAAGCUUCUUAUGGAAUCCAGAGGCUUUCUGGAAGGUGUGUUACCACUUCCAAACCAGAAAUAGGAAGUGCACUGACUUCUGGAGAAUCUCUUCUGCUCAUGGGCUUUUAAUCUGGCCAAAAAGCAUGAUGAGGAAUUCACUAUUCCUUAGAUGGUGGCACCAAGACCCAGAGAGGCAAAGCCAUUGCCAGAUUUCCAUUCCAAGUUGGUCAGUGUCCUGGCCGACACGGAUUCCAGAAAAUCUUUGUAGGAACAGAGGGCACACCAAACCGAGCAGCUGAUCCUGAGAAUCCAGGAAAGAGUUUAGCAGUGUCCUUGCUCAGAACUUCUCAGAUGACAUCCUUGCAACUUCUUGUGAAUAACCACAUAAGGUAACAUGGGGGAAAGUUUGCUUCCAGCUGUCUGGGAUGUGUGAAUUUCCUCUCACGUCUCUGUUUUGAAAAAUAUUAAUGAACAUUUGCAUUGGUUAGGGUCUGGCUGUCUGCCCUAUUUGGCUUAACUGAAAUUUUAAAGCGAAUUCUGAGGGGUGGGUUGUUUUUUCCAAUUCCUUAAUUAAACAACUGGAGUGUUCCAUGAGAUUCAUUCAUCUUUGUAUCUAUUUAAAUGACUUUCAUUGAAAGGGCCACUAUGUUGAAGUCACCACUUGUCUUUAAAUAAUAUUUCAACUGUGUACCCAAGCUGUUUAUUUUUAUAGUUCUGUGUAUUUGACCUAAAGCUUUUAACCUUGUGUGUGUGCCCUGAAGUGACUUUAUUGCAAAAGGGUUUGGCUU